UUACACAGGUGCACCUUGUGCUGGGGGGGCAAUAAAAUACCACUUUUUUAUGUACAGUUUUGUCACACAACACAAUGCAACAGAUGUCUCAAGUUUCGAGGGAUAGUGCAAUUGGCAUGCUGACUGCAGGAAUGUCCAACAGAGCCAGUUAAUUAAAGUUAAUUUCUCCACAUAAAUUGCCUAUAAUGUUUUAGAUCAUAUGGCAGUACAUCCAACUGGCCUCACAACCACAGACCACGUGUAUGGCGUUGUGUGGCGGCAGUGGGGUUAUGGUAUGGGCAAGCACAAGAUACAGACAACGAACACAAUUGCAUUUUAUCAAUGACAAUUUGAAUGCAGAGAUACUGUGACGAUAUCCAGAGGCCCAUUGUUUCAGCAUGAUAAUGUACGGCCCCAUGUCGCAAGGAUUUGUACACAAUUCAUGGAAGAUGAAAAUGCCUCAAUUGGCAUACAUGGCAUACAUACUCACCAGACAUUUCACUCAUUGAGCAUGUUAGGGGUGCUCUUGAUCGGCGUGUAAGACAGCGUGUUCCAGUUCCUGCCAAUAUCCAACAACUUCGCACAGCCUUUGAGGAGGAGCAGGACAACAUUCCACAGACCACAAUCAACAGCCUGAUCAACUCUAUGCGAAGGAGAUGUGUCACACUGCAUGAGGCAAAUGGUAGCCACACCAGAUACUCACUGGUCCACACUUUCUGAUCCACACCCCUACUUUUUUUGUUGUGGUAUUUUAACCCCUUUUUCUCCCCAAUUUCGAUCGUGUUUCAUCGCUGCAACUCCCCAACAGGCUAGGGAGAGGUGAAGGUCGAGUCAUGCGUCCUCCGAAACAUGACUCGCUCAAACCACACUUCUUAACACCCACCCGAUUAACUCGGAAGCCAACUCCAACCAUCAGCCUGCAGGUGCCUGGCCCCCACAAGGAGUUGCUAGAGUGCAAUGAGCCAAAUAAAGCCCCGGCCAAAUCCUCCCCUAACCCGGACCACGCUGGGCCAAUUGUGUGCCAUCCUAUGGGACUCCCGGUCGCGGCCGGUUGUGACGCAGCCUGGGAUCGAACUCGGGUCUGUAGUGAUGCCUCAAGCACUACGACGCAGUGUGCCACUCGGGACGCCACCCGUACCUUUUUUUGAGGUACCUGUGACCAACAGAUGCAUAUCUGUAUUCCCAGUCAUGUGAUAUCCAUAAAUUAGAGCCUAAUUUAUUUAUUUCAACUGACUGAUUUCCUUAUAUGAACUGUAACUCAGUACAAUCGUUGAAAUUGUUGCAUGCUGCAUUUAUAUUUUUGUUUAGUAUAGAAUGUCAUGUUUUGGUCAUGGAGCAAAAGCACACACACUAUAAAUACAAAAGUAUGUGGACACCCCUUCAAAUUAGUGGAUUCGGCUUUAUCAGCCACACCCGUUGAGCAGAGCCAUGCAAUCUCCAUAGACAAACAUUGGCAGUUGAAUGGCCCGUACUGAAGAGCUCAGUGACUUUCAACUUGGCACCGUCACAGGAUGGCAACUUUCCAACAUCUCAGUUCGUCAAAUUUCUGCCCUACUAGAGCUGCCACGGUCAACUGUAAGUGCAGCUAUUGUGAAGUGGAAACAUUUAGGAGCAUAUAAAAGUAUUCAUCCCCCUUGGUGUUUUUCCUAUUCUGUUGCAUUACAACCUGUAAUUUAAAUGGAUUUUUAUUUAAUGCAAUGAACAUACACAAAAUAGUCCAAAUUGGUGAAGUGAAAUGAAAAAAAAAUUUAUUGUUUCAAAAAAUUAUAAAAUAUACAAAACGGAAAAGUGGUGCAUGAAUAUCUAUUCACCCCUUUGCUAUGAAGCCCCUAAAUAAGACCUUCAGAAGUCAUAAUUAGAUAAAUAAAGUCCACCUGUGUGCAAUCUAAGUGUCACAUGAUCUCUUUGAACAUCCCACGGAACACCAUUAAAUCCGUAAAAAAAUGAAAGAAUAUGGCACCACAACAAACCUGCCAAGAGAGGGCUGCCCACCGAAACUCACAGACAAGGCAAGGAGGGCAUUAAUCAGAGAGGCAACAAAGAGACCAAAGAUAAUCCUGAAGGAGCUGCAAAGCUCCACAGCGGAGAUUGGAGUAUCUGUCCAUAGGACCACUUUAAGCCAUACACUCCACAGAGCAGGGCAUUACAGAAGAAUGUCCAGAAAAAAGGCCAUUGCUUAAAUAAAAAAAUAAGCAACCAUGUUUGGUGUUCGCCAAAAGGCAUGUGGGAGACUUCCCAAACAUAUGGAAGAAGGUACUCUGAUGAGAUGAGAUGAAAAUGUUGCUUUUUGGCCAUCAAGCAAAACUCUAUGUCUGGCACAAACCCAACACCUCUCAUAACCCCGAGAUCACCAUCCAUGGUGGUGGCAGCAUCAUGCUGUGGGGAUGUUUUUCAUCGGCAGGGACUGGGAAACUAAUCAGAAUUUAAGGAAUGAUGGAUGGCGGUAAAUACAGGCAAAUUCUUGAGAGAAACCUGUUUCAGUCUUCCAGAGAUUUGAGACUGGGACAGAGGUUCACCUUCCAGCAGGACAAUGACCCUAAGCAUACUGCUAAAGCAACACUUGAGUGGUUUAAGGGGAAACAUUUAAAUGGCCUGGAAUGGCCUCAAUCCAAUUGAGAAUCUGUGUUAUGACUUAAAGAUUGCUGUACACCAGCGGAACCCAUUCAACUUGAAGGAGCUGGAGCAGUUUUGCCUUGAAAAAUGGGCAAAAAUCCCAGUGGCUAGAUGUGCCAAGCUCAUAGAGAUACCCCAAGAGACUUGCAGCUGUAUUUGCUGCAAAAGGUGGUUCUACCAAGUAUUGACUUGAGGGGGGGGGGGGGGUGAAUAGUUAUGCAUGCUCAAGUUGUCAAGUCCUCUUCUUGUUUGUUUCUGAUUAAAAAUAUUUUGCAUCUUCAAUGUGGCAGGCAUGUUGUGUAAAUCAAAUGAUAUAACCCCCCCCAAAUUCUAAUCUAUUUUAACUCCAGGUUGGAAGGCAAGACAAUAGGAAAAAUGCCAAGGGGGUGAAUACAUUCGCAAGCCACUGUAGUUAGUAUGUUACGGUUUUCUAGGUGUGAAGGAGAGUCGGACCAAAAUGCAGCGUGUAGAUUGCGAUCCAUAGACUGGGUUCGCACCCAGGCUCUGUCGUAACCGGCCACGACCGGGAGGUCUGUGGGGGACGCACAAUUGGCCUAGCGUCGUCCGGGUUAGGGAGGGCUUGGCCGGUAGGGAUGUCCUUGUCUCAUCGCGCACCAGCGACUAUAACAGUAUAUGGCCAAGAUGUUCAAAUGUUCAUAGAUGACUAGCAGGGUCAAAUAAUAAUCAUCACAGUGGUUGUAGAGGGUGCAACAAGUCAGCACCUCAGGAGUAAAUGUCAGUUGGCUUUUCAUAGCCGAUCAUUUAGAGUUAGAGACAGCAGGUGCGGUAGAGAGAGAGAGUGUCGAGAACCGCAGGUCCGGGACAAGGUAGCACGUCCAGUGAACAGGUCAGGGUUCCAUAGCCGCAGGCAAGCAAGGAGUCAUCAGGCCAGGUAGUCCUGAGGCAUGGUCCUAGGGCUCAGGUCCUCAGAGAAAAGGGGAGGAAAGAGAGAAAGAGAGAGAAUACUUAAAUUCACACAGGACACCGGAUAAGACAGGAGAAAUACUCCAGAUAUAACAGACUGAUCCUAUCCCCCCGACACAUAAACUAUUGCAGCAUAAAUACUGGAGGCUGAGACAGGAGGGGUCGGGAGACUCUGUGGCCCCGUCUGACGAUACCCCCGGACAGGGCCAACAAGGCAGGAUAUAACCCCACCCACUUUGCCAAAGCACAGCCCCCACACCACUAGAAGGAUAUCUUCAAACCACCAACUUACUACCCUGAGACAAGGCCGAGUAUAGCCCAUGAAGGUCUCCCCCACAACACGAACCCAAGGGGGGCGCCAACACGUACAGGAAAAUCAGCGACUCAAGUGACGCACCCUUCCUAGGGACGGCAUGGAAGAGCACAAGUAAGCCAGUGACUCAGCCCCCGUAAUAGGGUUUGAGAAGAGAAUCCCAGUGGAGAGAGGGGAACGGGCCAGGCGGAGACAGCAAGGGCAAUUCGUCGCUCCAGUGCCUUUCUGUUCACCUUCACACCCUGGGCCAGAGUACACUCAAUCAUAGGACCUACUUGAAGAGAUGAAUCUUCAAUAAAGACUUAAAGGCCGAGACAGAGUCUGCGUCUCUCACAUGGAUAGGCAGACCAUUCCAUAAAAAUGGAACUCUAUAUGAGAAAGCGCUGCCUCCAGCUGUUUGCUUAGAAAUCCUAGGGACAAUAAAGAGGCCUGCGUCUUGUGACCGUAGCGUACGUGUAGGUAUGUACGGCAGGACCAAAUCGGAAAGAUGGGUAGGAGCAAGCCCAUGUAAUGCUUUGUAGGUUAGCAGCAAAACCUUGAAAUCAGCCCUAGCCUUAACAGGAUGCCAGUGUAGAGAGGCUAGCAUUGGAGUAAUAUGAUCACAUUUUUAGGUUCUAGUCAAGAUUCUAGCAGCCGUGUUUACCACUAACUGAAGUUUAUUUAGUAUCCGGAAAGUAGAGCAUUGCAGUAGUCUAAUCUAGAAGUGACAAAAGCAUGGAUAAAUCUGGACAGAAAGUUUCUGAUUUUGGCAAUGUUACGUAGAUGGAAAAAAGCUGUCCUUGAAACAGUCUUGAUAUGUUCGUCAAAAGAGAGAUCAGGGUCCAGAGUAACGCUGAGGUCCUUCACAGUUUUAUUUGAGACAACUGUACAACCAUCAAAAUUAAUUGUCAAAUCCAAUAGAAGAUCUCUUUUUUCCUGGGACCUAGAACAAGUAUCUCUGUUUUGCCCGAGUUUAAAAGUAAAACAUUUGCCACCAUCCACUUCCUUAUGUCUGAAACACAGGCUUCCAGGGAGGGCAAUUUUGGGGCUUCACCAUGUUUCAUCGAAAUGUGAAAGUUAACAUUAUGUUUCCGAAUGACAUCACCAAGAGGUAAAAUUUAUAGUGAAAACAAUAGUGGUCCUACAACGGAACCUUGAGGAACGCCAACAUUUACAGUAGAUUUGUCAGAGGACAACCCUUCCACAGAGACAAACUGAUAUCUUUCAGACAGAAAAACUCUAAACCAGGCCAGAACUUGUUCGUGUAGACCAAUUUGGGUUUCCAAUCUCUCCAAAAGAAUGUGGCGAUCGAUGGUAUCAAAAGCAGUACUAAGGUCUAGGAGCACGAGGACAGAUGCAGAUCCUUGGUCUGAUACCAUUAAAAGGUAAUUUACCACCUUCACAAGUGCAGUCUCAGUGCUAUGAUGGGGUUUAAAACCAGACUGAAGCAUUUCAUAUACAUUGUUUGUCUUCAGGAAUUCAGUGAGUUGCUGCACAACAGCUUUUUCUCAACUUUUUCAACAACCUUUUUCAAAAAUGUUUGAGAGGAAUGGGAGAUUUGAUAUAGGCCGAUCAUUUUUAAUAUUUUCUAGGUCAAGGUUUGGCUGUUUCAAGGCUUGAAAGGCUCAUUACUACCACUUUUAGAGAGUUUGGUACACAUCCGGUGGAUAGGGUGGCAUUUACUAUAUUCAACAUAGGAGGGCCAAGCUCAUGAAGCAGCUCUUUCAGCAGUUUAAUUGGAAUCGGUUCCAGUAAGCAGCUUGAAGGUUUAGAGGCCAUUAAUAUUUUCAUUAAUGUGUCAAUAGAUAUAGGAUGAAAAAAACUUGAGUGUCUACCUUGAUCCUAGGCCCUGGCAGUGUUGUGCAGACUCAAGACAACUGAGCUUUGGAGAAAUAUGCAGAUUUAAGAGGAGUCCGUCAUUUGCUUUCUAAUGAUCAUGAUAUUUUUGCCGAAGAAGUUCAUGAAUUUAUCACUGCUGAAGUGAAAGCCAUCCUCUUGGGGAAUGCUUGUUUUUAGUUAGCUUUGUGACAGUAUCAAAAAUACAUUUUGGAUUGUUUUUAUUCUCCUCAAUUAAGUUGGAAAAUAGGAUGAUCGAGCAGCAGUGACUACUGCACGGUACUGUCUUUCCAAGCUAAUCAGAAGACUUCCAGUUUGAUGUAGUGCCAUUUCCAUUUCCAAUUAUCUGGAAGCUUGCUUCAGGGCUCGGGUAUUUUCUGUAUAUCAGGGAGCUAGUUUCUUAUGACAAAUGUUUUUUGUUUUUAGGGGUGUGACUGCAUCUAGGGUAUUACGCAAG
Oncorhynchus tshawytscha (Chinook salmon) is the source of this 6101-nucleotide long non-coding RNA. Lineage: Eukaryota; Metazoa; Chordata; Actinopteri; Salmoniformes; Salmonidae. The record is from Ensembl.